RNAcentral lists this transfer RNA (72 nucleotides) under Bacteroidia bacterium. RNAcentral describes it as "tRNA-Gln". It matches the Rfam family "tRNA". Rfam says of the family: Transfer RNA (tRNA) molecules are approximately 80 nucleotides in length. Their secondary structure includes four short double-helical elements and three loops (D, anti-codon, and T loops). The record is from RNAcentral. Lineage: Bacteria; Pseudomonadati; Bacteroidota; Bacteroidia.
UGCCUUGUGGUGUAACGGUAGCACAUCGGAUUCUGGUUCCGCUUGUCUGGGUUCGAAUCCUAGCAAGGCAAC